CUCAUGGAGUUUUUAUUAAAUGAUUUGUCACACGGAUAUGUCUUCUGUAUAAUACAAUCCCCGAUGGUAUUUAUCGAAGGUAUGAUCCAGGAUAACGGACUUGGUUUCAAUACUAAGUCCAUGUGCAACUUUUAGGUCGCAUUGGUGAUCCUAGUUAACCAACAUUAUGGUGUUCUUUUCAAGACAUGCUUUAUGGUUUAUUUUGUCUUACAUCCGAGGAUAAGAUGGUCACCUGGAAGGGAAUGUGGGCAAAGUUUCCAGGAAUGUUUCUUGGGCACUUUACUCCAAUGGAGAUUUUUGUCACAGACAUGAUCUGGUCCAUCUUUUUGGAUGAUUAAAAACCGGAAACAUCUGAGAUCUAUCUUGAACAUCAUUGGUGGGGUUUAAAAGGUAGGGUUUUUUCAGACAGUCUGUACCUGCCUGGAUUGAUAACUAUUCAAGGAGAACACCCUGCUGACUUUUGGCAAUAUUUCACCAACCAGGGCGGACUCUAACCGAGACUUAUGCUGAGGGACCACUGCUGUAUAUGGUAGAAGGGUCUUUGGACCUUCUGACGCGCCUGUUUUUAUUUUAUGUUUGUGAGUGCAAUAUUAUCUCCCUUUUUAUUCCAUUUGUGCGUGGUUUUAUGCUAUGCUGUUUUUCUUUAUUUUUUAUUCAAGUGAUUAAAUACCUGAAGAGGUUUAUCUUUAUCCUGAAUGCUGUAUUUAUACUUUCAACAAGAAGUAUUUUCUAAAGUAUGUAUACCAAGUUUUAAAUUUAGUGUGAUCACACACUAUAUAAGUUUGUUCAUUACGAUGCACCACACUCACUUUUUUUUUUGUUUGAAAAUACAAUAUACAAAGAAUAAAAAAUAAAGCACUGCUAAAUUUGGUUGUUGUGGUUAAACAGACAGUUGAAAAAUUUUGAAAUACUUCAUAGUUAAUAGGCCAAGUUAUCUUCUUUUGCAAAUGGUAUGAUAAGGUACAUUUAGAGACUACGAUUUUGUCUUAAAGUGGCACGUGAGCAGUAAAUCAGCUGGUGAAAAGAAGAAAUCCAGAAAUGAAAUUGGUAUGUCUGUAAUUUGACGCUUAUACGGAGACUUCUAAACGCAUUGGCACACUGGGCAGUUGCCUGGGGCCCCACAAGCAUAGGGGCCCCAUAGGCUUGCUAUCUUUUCAUUAUAUUAUUCCAGGAUAUUUAUUCAAAAC
Non-coding RNA from Pelobates cultripes (western spadefoot toad), 1187 nucleotides. The record is from the annotation of a GenBank genome assembly. Lineage: Eukaryota; Metazoa; Chordata; Amphibia; Anura; Pelobatidae.